RNAcentral lists this ribosomal RNA (301 nucleotides) under uncultured bacterium. RNAcentral's name for it is "partial 16S ribosomal RNA". It matches the Rfam family "Bacterial small subunit ribosomal RNA", at positions 509 to 807 of the family's 1533-position model. The record is from RNAcentral.
CAGCCGCCACGGUAAUACGUAGGUGGCAAGCGUUGUCCGGAAUUAUUGGGCGUAAAGGGCUCGCAGGCGGCUUCUUAAGUCUGAUGUGAAAGCCCCCGGCUCAACCGGGGAGGGUCAUUGGAAACUGGGAAACUUGAGUGCAGAAGAGGAGAGUGGAAUUCCACGUGUAGCGGUGAAAUGCGUAGAGAUGUGGAGGAACACCAGUGGCGAAGGCGACUCUCUGGUCUGUAACUGACGCUGAGGAGCGAAAGCGUGGGGAGCGAACAGGAUUAGAUACCCCAGUAGUCCCUGUCUCUUAUAC